AUACGUAGGGGGCAAGCGUUAUCCGGAUUUACUGGGUGUAAAGGGAGCGUAGACGGAAGGCCAAGUCUGAUGUGAAAGCCCGCGGCUCAACUGCGGGACUGCAUUGGAAACUGGUCAUCUGGAGUGCAGGAGGGGUAAGCGGAAUUCCUAGUGUAGCGGUGAAAUGCGUAGAGAUCGGGAGGAACACCAGUGGCGAAGGCGGGUAACUGGACUGCAACUGACGCUGAGGCGCGAAAGUGUGGGGAGCAAACAGGAUUAGAUACCCUGGUAGUCCACACUGUAAACGAUGAAUGCUAGGUGUAAGAGGUAUCGACCCCUUUUGUGCCGGAGUCAACACAAUAAGCAUUCCGCCUGGGGAGUACGGCCGCAAGGUUGAAACUCAAAUGAACUGACGGGG
Molecule: ribosomal RNA, 397 nt
Filed under: uncultured bacterium
Lineage: Bacteria
Description: partial 16S ribosomal RNA
Rfam family: Bacterial small subunit ribosomal RNA
Source: RNAcentral